GCCCUCGUAGCUCAGUGGUUAGAGCACUGGUCUCGCAAACCAGGGGUCGGAAGUUCAAUUCUCACCGGGGGCA
Molecule: transfer RNA, 73 nt
Filed under: Echinostoma caproni
Lineage: Eukaryota; Metazoa; Platyhelminthes; Trematoda; Plagiorchiida; Echinostomatidae
Rfam family: tRNA
About the family: Transfer RNA (tRNA) molecules are approximately 80 nucleotides in length.
Source: Rfam by way of RNAcentral